GAAGGUUGGGUAACACUAACUGGAGGACCGAACCGACUAAUGUUGAAAAAUUAGCGGAUGACCUGUGGCUGGGGGUGAAAGGCCAAUCAAACCGGGAGAUAGCUGGUUCUCCCCGAAAGCUAUUUAGGUAGCGCCUCGUGAAUUCAUCUCCGGGGGUAGAGCACUGUUUCGGCUAGGGGGCCAUCCCGGCUUACCAACCCGAUGCAAACUGCGAAUACCGGAGAAUGUUAUCACGGGAGACACACGGCGGGUGCUAACGUCCGUCGUGAAGAGGGAAACAACCCAGACCGCCAGCUAAGGUCCCAAAGUCAUGGUUAAGUGGGAAACGAUGUGGGAAGGCCCAGACAGCCAGGAUGUUGGCUUAGAAGCAGCCAUCAUUUAAAGAAAGCGUAAUAGCUCACUGGUCGAGUCGGCCUGCGCGGAAGAUGUAACGGGGCUAAACCAUGCACCGAAGCUGCG
Molecule: ribosomal RNA, 459 nt
Filed under: Salmonella enterica subsp. enterica serovar Enteritidis
Lineage: Bacteria; Pseudomonadati; Pseudomonadota; Gammaproteobacteria; Enterobacterales; Enterobacteriaceae
Description: partial 23S ribosomal RNA
Rfam family: Bacterial large subunit ribosomal RNA
Source: RNAcentral